Molecule: ribosomal RNA, 263 nt
Filed under: uncultured bacterium
Lineage: Bacteria
Description: partial 16S ribosomal RNA
Rfam family: Bacterial small subunit ribosomal RNA
Source: RNAcentral
GUCCACGCCCUAAACGAUGACAACUAGAUGUCGGGAUGGUUUGCCUUCCGGUGUCGUAGCUAACGCGUUAAGUUGUCCGCCUGGGAAGUACGGCCGCAAGGUUGAAACUCAAAGGAAUUGACGGGUACCCGCACAAGCGGUGGAGCAUGUGGUUUAAUUCGAUGCAACGCGAAGAACCUUACCUGGUCUUGACAUCCUAGGAAUCCUGCAGAGAUGCGGGAGUGCCUUCGGGAACCUGGAUACAGGUGCUGCAUGGCUGUCGU